AUGACUAUCCUAAGUUGGAACUGCCGGGGGAUGGGGAACUCCCGGACAGUUCGAGACCUAGCGACUAUGAUCCAGUCGCAUUCCCCUAGCUUGGUUUUCCUUUGUGAAACUAGGCAAAGUAAGGAUAAGAUGAAAAGCUACCGAAAUAGGUUUGGUCUGCGAGGUUUUGAAGGUGUUAGCAGUGAUGGUAAUAGCGGGGGGCUUGCUCUCUAUUGGCAUGAAAAUUGGACAGUGGAUAUUAGGCUUGCAAAUUCAAGAUGCAUUGAUGCACACAUCCAAGCUCCUAGAGAGACUAAAUGGCACCUGACAUGCGUGUAUGGAGAGCCUCGUAUUGAGAAUAGACACUUAAUGUGGUCCUUGAUGGAAGAUAUAGCUACCCAGAACGUUCUUCCUUGGUUGGCUGUUGGAGAUUUUAAUGAAGCCUUGUGA
This 429-nucleotide ribosomal RNA is filed under the name Triticum aestivum (bread wheat). RNAcentral's name for it is "partial small subunit ribosomal RNA". Lineage: Eukaryota; Viridiplantae; Streptophyta; Magnoliopsida; Poales; Poaceae. The record is from RNAcentral.